This 93-nucleotide ribosomal RNA is filed under the name Methanospirillum sp. The record is from RNAcentral. Lineage: Archaea; Methanobacteriati; Methanobacteriota; Methanomicrobia; Methanomicrobiales; Methanospirillaceae.
CGGUCUCUUUCCGAACCCGGAAGUUAAGACACCUCACGUGGAUACUGGUACUGAGGUACGCGAGUCCUCGGGAACGUAUCUUCGCUGCUAUUG